UUUGAGACAGGGUCUCACUAAGUAGUUAAGUGUUGAUCUUGAACUUGCAGUCCUCCUGCUUCUGCCUCCCAAGUCACGGGGAUUACAGGUGUGAACCACCAAUCCUGGCUUCUGCCACACCUUCUUUAUCCUCUGCAAUCAAGCCUGAAGUGCACCCAUUGCUCUUUGUAGCUUGCCUUGCCCCCAGACCCUUCUGCUGACCACAGCUUGUGGCAGGCAGGACGAGCCUCCUGAGGCACAGAUGCAAGGGUGGUGCUCUGCUGCCCGGGUGUGAGUUCUCCCGGCUUCCUGCCACAGCCCCACGUGGUGCACCACCUCCUCAGGCCUACACUCCAGCACUACCAGCCGCACUGUAGCCACAGCCUGGCAUCUCGUGUUGUCCUCCUGGGGCACAGCGUGCUCCAUUCCCCAUGCCAGCUAGCUCCCUCAUGCUCUUUUGUCUGUCUCAGACACCACUUCCUCCAGGAAGUCUUCUUGAACGUUUCAGUGCCUUACUUAUGUCUCCCACAGUAUUUAUCCAUGAUCACUAUGCCUUGACCACAGCAGGCACACAGUAACGGUUGACGGGAUGACACACCAGCAGCCCACUAGAUCAGACUCUUUGCCCCAGACUAUAAUAACUCCUUUUCCAAAGAAAAAGUCUACAGAGUCCUCACAUAAUAGCAAGUUAUACUUUUAAGGUCCAUUGAUUAAGAAAAUUCAUAGUGACUAAAAGUUAUAUUGCCUUCAGUAGAACAUUGAACUAUACUUCAUCAAACCCAACAAUAUCCACAUAUAUUCAAAGGCUUGGUGCAUGCAGGAUUUUCAGGACUUUGCAGCCCCUCCGAGGCACUUAUGUUAGCCUGCAGGCAAUGAGGUCCUUAAGAGAAUGGCGAAUCUUUAAAGGGUCCAGGCCUUGGGUUCUCCAAAUUCACAAUUUUGGCUAGAGAUAGAUCUGUCCAUGAGGUUUAAUGAAAACUAAGAAUCAUGCUGGAAAGGGGAGAUAGCAAUGGAACCAGUGUCUGGAAAGUGAAUCCAUUCCCUCAGAACACAAUAGUUUUAUUCUAGAGGCUGGUCAAUGAUAAAGACUAAUGCCAUGUAUGGGAUUAGUCAUCGUCUUUGUGUACCCCAAGUCCUGGAAGUGGAGGGAAGCCCAGGAACACAUGUGGCCUCUUGGAAGAAGUUUUCCUGACUCCACCACAAGGUCAGGCCCCCUCAUCGUCUCUGCCAUCACCCCAGUGGCCCACAGUGCAGCUCUCUGAGCUGUCCAGCUCCCUUCCUGGAUCAUGCCCUCCUGUUUGAGCCCUGGACUGCUGAGUGUCUCCACCUCCAAGUGAAGAUCAUACCUGUAGAUGCUUAAUAGCUUUACUGAGACCUCUGACAAGCCUGUGUGGAAGUGUUAGUCCUCUGAUGUCUCUCUGCACGGUGGCCCCCCAUUUUGGGAUGAGAGACAAAAUUUGCCCACAUCUGUUGCUAGGAUCCGAGGCUCUGGAGGUCUGCUUCUGAUCAUGCUCCCAAACACUUCAGAACAGCCAGGUAAAACCUCAAAUGCAAAAGCCUCCCAUCCUACCUCCAACCCUGGCCCCUACCCCAAAGAACUAUUACCAAUUAUGUUCUUUGUACUUUCAAGGGAAAAAAUAAAAAGUUUGCUCUUAUCACCAAAUAUACACAUAUGCAAACAUAUACAUGCAUGUAAAUAUGUACUAAUGUCCUUUUUAUUUAUACCAAGUGUUCUGAUAAAUAUUGAAGUUGGAAGGUACAGGAUUAAUAAUCAUUCUUGAGCAUGGGCCUGGGUUCAAUCCCCCAGCACUAAAAAAAAAAAAAAAAAAAUCAUCCUUAUCUCAGUUCCUGGUUGAUUUUAACUUUUUCUGCACAGUAUUAUAUUGUAUGUUAUUUACUUAACCAAUUUAACAUGCAGAUUAGUUUGUUUCAAUAUUUUGCUUUUACAAAUAAUGCUAUACUGAAUAUUCUUAUGCACCUGUCUUAGUAUACUUUUGCAACUAUAUCCAUAGAGUAAAUUCACAGUAAUAGAAUUUCCGGGUCAAAUCUUCCAAUUUUGAUAGAUAUUAUCAAACUGUCUUUUAAAAAAUAUUCCAUCACCACUCCUGGCAGUAUUUGAGAGUGGCAGGUUGCCCACAUAGUCAAUUCUGAAUACUGACCAGCUUUUAAAUUUUCACUUUUUGAGAAUUGAAAUCUCAUCAGCAUUUCUACGAUUCUGGGUGAAGUUAACCAUGUUUCUGUGUGUUUGCUUUUCUGUAAACUCCAUGUUCAUAUCCUUUCCUGAAUUUUAUCUUUAAUUAUUCAAUCUUGGUUUUUAUGAAUGUUCUGAAAACCAAGGAAAUGUGAUUGUGUUCUAUGCUGCUAAUGUUUUUCCAUUUGUAUGGGAUGAUUUUAUUUUCAUCAUCUAAUGAUUUGAAAUUCUUGAUUUUAGUCAUGUGCAUUGCUUAAGAAUACAUUUUUGUGCCCCUCAAUAUAUGUGUGUGCACACACAUACAUAUAUAGAUAUACACACACGUACUAAUGUUUUUAAGUGCAUUUUUAAAGGGCUAGACAAUUGUUACAGGCUCUUAAAGACUCAGUCUGGUGUCUAUCUAUAGUCCUUCAGCCUCCUUGAGAAAUCACAGUUUAACAAAAUGCCAGCAGUUGAUCUUCUUGACAGAUCUAACUGGGAUUUUUCCUCUUGUUUACAAAUUCAGUGAAUAAAACUAGUUUCCUUGAGGUUAAUUCAAUUGAUUUUUUUCCUGGUUCCAAAUUCUUGUCUGGGUUAGUUAGUGUCCUUUCCACACCCUGCAUUGAAGAAAACAUCCUAUAAAUUCCGACACCCAGGUCUAAUUAAAAUCUUGCUCUUAAAACAAGAAUGUCUUUGAAUGUCUUUCAAAUUUGGAGAAAAUUUACUUCCUUGAUGUCUUUAGCCUCUGGAGCAAAGCACCUUCAGCUGAGCCAUUCCAAAGAGUUGGGAUUUCUCUGAUGAUCUACGAAACAGCUUCCACCUGUGCGUUGGGCAGUGAAGAGGGAGCAGGUAAACCACAGAGGUGCCUGUGGAGGAGACAGCAGGGGUGUAAGGAUAGGGAAGUUCCAUGUUGAAAGCUCCAGCAUUAUGGUGCUUUUCCCCAUAUUUUUAAGAAAUAAUAUUGGGGGUUUUAACAACCAACAAUAAAAAUUAAAAAAACUGUUAAAAAAAUAAUAUUGGGGGUUUUGCAGUUUAUAAAAUCUUUCACAUAAAUCAACCUAAAGCAAAGCUGUGGGGAGUCAGAUGAUAUCAUUCCCAGUGUUUUAUGUAGAAAAAAUAGAGGUCAAGGGGAUAAAAGACUC
This 3291-nucleotide long non-coding RNA is filed under the name Marmota monax (woodchuck). The record is from RNAcentral. Lineage: Eukaryota; Metazoa; Chordata; Mammalia; Rodentia; Sciuridae.